GACGAACGCUGGCGGCGUGCUUAACACAUGCAAGUCGAACGGAAAGGCCCUGCUUUUGUGGGGUGCUCGAGUGGCGAACGGGUGAGUAACACGUGAGUAUCCUGCCCUUGACUUUGGGAUAACUUCAGGAAACUGGGGCUAAUAUCGGAUAGGAGCUCCUGCUGCAUGGUGGGGGUUGGAAAGUUUCGGCGGUUGGGGAUGGACUCGCGGCUUAUCAGCUUGUUGGUGGGGUAGUGGCUUACCAAGGCUUUGACGGGUAGCCGGCCUGAGAGGGUGACCGGCCACAUUGGGCCUGAGAUACGGCCCAGACUCCUACGGGAGGCAGCAGUGGGGAAUAUUGCACAAUGGGCGGAAGCCUGAUGCAGCAACGCCGCGUGCGGGAUGACGGCCUUCGGGUUGUAAACCGCUUUCGCCUGUGACGAAGCGUGAGUGACGGUAAUGGGUAAAGAAGCACCGGCUAACUACGUG
RNAcentral lists this ribosomal RNA (468 nucleotides) under uncultured bacterium. Its description in RNAcentral is "partial 16S ribosomal RNA". It matches the Rfam family "Bacterial small subunit ribosomal RNA", at positions 28 to 507 of the family's 1533-position model. The record is from RNAcentral.